UCCUAGCUCUGAACUCAAGCAAGCACCUUCCCUUCCCUGGGUCUCAGUUUCCCCGCUUGUAAAAGAAACAGACUAGACUUUCUGACGGCUGAAGUCCCCUCUGGCUCCGAUAUUCUAAGAGCCAGGCAUUCAGGUUUAAGGGCCGCACAGGCUGAUAAAUCUAGGGCAAGUGAGAAUAAGGGGACUGUUGGCAGCUCAGCCCAAGUAAACAACUCUGGACGGAAGGCAGGGCCAAUCGGCCUCUGGAGAUAAGGGUUGGGACUGAGGGGAGGGAGGAGUCAAGAAUCAGUCUGAGGCCACAGCUAGUGGGAGAGCUCAGCACGGCCCCUGGGAGGGCUGCCUCUGGCCAGGGUCUUGGGGCAGUCUGGGCUGAAACGGGGAAACCCGAACAAGCAACCUGUUUCUUUGGGGAGCCAGAGCUCCCAGGAGAGGCAGCCAGUGUGCCAAGGGCUCGAUCCAACAGAAGGAGAACAAAAACUGUUAACAGGCCAAGCGGGCCACCUGUCCAGGCUGGAGAGAAGCGAGACUCUAUAUGAAGCAAGACAGAGAUCCUGAGAAACCACCAAACCUGUGCUCAACUGGGCUCUAAAACAAGUCUCUGACCUGAUUGUGGUCAGACCUCCUGGGAGAACGCAGAGGACCCUAGAGCGGUCAGGUCGAGAUCCUCGUGUGACAAGUCUCCAAAGCGCAAAAGCCGUUCACAGGUCCCAGAGCCGACCUUUCGACUAGAGAAGCUAUGCUCCAAACAAACCACGCAGAACGAAAACCAAAAUCCAGCCCUACAGGGUGACCAUCCCUGUCAACCAGACUUGGCGCUCCCAGGCCACACGUCUCCCGUCAGGAAGCAGACAAAAGAUCUGGGUUGGACGGCAGGCAAGUACCUGCUGUGUGCCAGGCACGAGUGCCCCCGCCUCAUCCCAGGGGGCAGUCAUGCGCAUUGAACAGCGAAGAAACUGAGUUUCACCCCA
This is a long non-coding RNA of Felis catus (domestic cat), 968 nucleotides long. RefSeq lists it as uncharacterized. Lineage: Eukaryota; Metazoa; Chordata; Mammalia; Carnivora; Felidae. The record is from RefSeq and is a predicted model, not a curated record. The transcript has 3 exons.